This 1320-nucleotide long non-coding RNA is filed under the name Vulpes vulpes (red fox). RNAcentral's name for it is "lncRNA (ENSVVUG00000024763.1)". Lineage: Eukaryota; Metazoa; Chordata; Mammalia; Carnivora; Canidae. The record is from RNAcentral.
CCGCGCCGCCGCGCACCUGCCCGCAGCCGGGGUUCCGACGCGCAUCCCCGCGCCUCUCGGGUUUGGGGCACCCAGGGGGCAGGGGACCCACGGCCGAAGCCUGAGCGCCGCGGGCUCGGUUCCUGCCGGCAACGCACUCCUUUCCUGCCUGCCCACCUUUCAGUGGAGAAUCUCUGUGGAUGGAGUUACAGAAAGGACACAGGAUCCUGGAUGCCAUCUAUGAUGGUGCUGCAAAGAUGCCAGCCAGAUAAUUCUUUACCUCAUUAUGCACCUACCAUCUGCAUAUUUGUUGAACUCCAACAAAUGCACGGAUGCACUGUGGUUAUUUAUUCCUGGGAAAUGUUACUGGUAAAAUGUUGAUGAGAGUGUAGGGAGAGGGGCACAAACGUAUUAUUGGUUCUCUGGGCACCAUUCCCCUGCAUGUUACAUUCACUGCUGAUUCUCACUGACCAAGGGUACACUAUUGAGAAAGGAAAAUCACAGACAUAGUAGGUGAGCUAGAGGCACUGCCACAGUGGGACAAGAGGGAAUUUGCAUUCACUGAGUACUCAUCAUAGGCCAGGAACUGUUCUAGGCUUUUCCUUUUUUUUUUUUUUUUUUUUAAGAUUUUAUUUAUUUAUUUGACAGAAAGAGAGAAAGAGAGAGAGGGAGAAGCAGAUUCCCUGCUGAGCAUGGAGCCCAAUGUGGGGCUCCAUCCUAGGACCCUGAGAUCAUGACCUGAGCCAAAGGCAGACACUUAACCAGCUGAGCCACCCAAGUGCUCCAUGUGCUAGGCCUUUUCCAUUUCACAUCUCAACAAAUCUUCAGAACAGCUCUGAGAGGCAGGCAGCUGUAUCUUAGAUCGGAUAUCUUGCAGCUUUGGUCUGCUCAAGGUCACUGGCUAGUAAGUACCAGAGUGGGGGUCCAAGCUCAUGUCUGUCUGGCUUCCAANGAGGCAGGCAGCUGUAUCUUAGAUCGGAUAUCUUGCAGCUUUGGUCUGCUCAAGUACCAGAGUGGGGGUCCAAGCUCAUGUCUGUCUGGCUUCCAGGUGCAUGCUCUUACCUUGUCACCAUUUGUCUUUGAAGUAUAAGAAAUCUUGGCUGGGUAAAUUUGAGAGCACUCUUCCACCACCAAUUCUGUUCUCAUAGCAGCUGCAGAUUGUCCUCUAUCUUCCCAAAAAUCCCUGGGAUCUGUUUCUCUCCAUCCUGGACUCAAAAUCCAGGCCUCACUGCACAGCAGACCAGCUCCUUGCUGCUCCUUUCUGCUGGAUCAGAAGAUAUCAGAAUUUGCAUCCAUAGGGAAAAGUGGAUCAUAGCUAUUGGAAGGUAAGCUGUAUAUUUA